RNAcentral lists this ribosomal RNA (484 nucleotides) under uncultured bacterium. RNAcentral describes it as "partial 16S ribosomal RNA". It matches the Rfam family "Bacterial small subunit ribosomal RNA", at positions 30 to 507 of the family's 1533-position model. The record is from RNAcentral.
AUUGAACGCUGGCGGCAGGCCUAACACAUGCAAGUCGAGCGGAUGAAGGGAGCUUGCUCCUGGAUUCAGCGGCGGACGGGUGAGUAAUGCCUAGGAAUCUGCCUGGUAGUGGGGGAUAACGUCCGGAAACGGGCGCUAAUACCGCAUACGUCCUGAGGGAGAAAGUGGGGGAUCUUCGGACCUCACGCUAUCAGAUGAGCCUAGGUCGGAUUAGCUAGUUGGUGGGGUAAAGGCCUACCAAGGCGACGAUCCGUAACUGGUCUGAGAGGAUGAUCAGUCACACUGGAACUGAGACACGGUCCAGACUCCUACGGGAGGAAGCAGUGGGGAAUAUUGGACAAUGGGCGAAAGCAUGAUCCAGCCAUGCCGCGUGUGUGAAGAAGGUCUUCGGAUUGUAAAGCACUUUAAGUUGGGAGGAAGGGCAGUAAGUUAAUACCUUGCUGUUUUGACGUUACCAACAGAAUAAGCACCGGCUAACUUCGUG